This 22-nucleotide microRNA is filed under the name Haemonchus contortus (barber pole worm). Its description in RNAcentral is "hco-miR-5937". The record is from miRBase by way of RNAcentral. Lineage: Eukaryota; Metazoa; Nematoda; Chromadorea; Rhabditida; Trichostrongylidae.
AAUCGUGGACUAUGGAAGCAGC